Molecule: small RNA, 219 nt
Filed under: Rugositalea oryzae
Lineage: Bacteria; Pseudomonadati; Pseudomonadota; Alphaproteobacteria; Hyphomicrobiales; Nitrobacteraceae
Description: Rhodoplanes sp. Z2-YC6860 caulobacter sRNA CC2171
Rfam family: caulobacter sRNA CC2171
Source: Rfam by way of RNAcentral
CGCCAACUGAAAGGAGGUGAUCCAGUGUCUCAUUGUCUAUCGCCGCGGUCGCCGGCAUCCGUGAGCUGGAUCCUCGCCUUAUCCGAGGUUCUGAGCUAACGCCGCGUGACGUGACAGUCACGGUCUCGCGGCGAGGUUUGCGCGAUCCACACUCCGGAUCGUGAGACCUCCGCCGGACCACGGCUCGACAAUGGAAGGGCUGCCCGCAAGGGCAGCCCU